RNAcentral lists this non-coding RNA (23 nucleotides) under Arabidopsis thaliana (thale cress). Lineage: Eukaryota; Viridiplantae; Streptophyta; Magnoliopsida; Brassicales; Brassicaceae. The record is from RNAcentral.
AUAGUCCGAUGAUAAAACCAUGC